RNAcentral lists this unclassified non-coding RNA (238 nucleotides) under Hevea brasiliensis (rubber tree). Lineage: Eukaryota; Viridiplantae; Streptophyta; Magnoliopsida; Malpighiales; Euphorbiaceae. The record is from RNAcentral.
UCCAUUUAUGCAGCGAAAAGCUCUGUAAAAUUUGAAGGGGGGAAAUUGCAGGCACAAAAUGAAUUCAAUUUUCAAUUUUUACAAGAAAAACAAAUAGACCGUUGUUGGGCCAAAAGAGGAACUACACUGUUAAUGUCAUGAUAAAAUCUCCAUACUAAAAAUAUAAAACCGACAUUGACAGUCCGCAUUUUGACCUAAAAUAUAGUAAUUAAAUAGGAAAGAACAUUUUAUGAAAAAG